GACCGGAUUCUUUUCCUUUUGCCGAGACAGAUUCCGGCGGGAGCUCCGGAGCUGCUCCCUUGCUCGGCCCUUCCCCGCCAAGAAACGUAUGAAGGGCCAGGGCGCUUUCCUCCUGACGGCACCGGACGCAAGGAGACAGUCGUUCUCCAGCGCGCUUGGGGAGACCUCGGCCCGCCGGCUGGCUGCGAAACACGAAAGGGACUCCAUCUCAGCGCCGCGCAGGAAGACUCCCGUCCUGGGACGACGGUGACAAGGCGGCUUCCCGCGUUUAGGCCAAAGAUCAUCCGGACAAACUCGAACGACCAGGCCGGGCCCGGCAUCUAGUGCGACACGGGCUCUCGCCUCUCACCUCGGUUUCGGGUAGCGAUGUGUCGCCCGCCAAGAUGUUUGUCCCAGGCCGGCCGCGGAAAGUUAAAUGCAGCUGUCACUCUGCCUGGACUCGCUCGCUUCUCCAGGCCGGAGCCUUUCAUCCCCGCGUGCAGUGAUAGAUGGGCAGUUUACACGAGCGAUUAGGAACGGGCGGAGGCCACCGCCACACUGGGAAUGGGGAGGGGGAGUGUCGCCUAGAUGACAACUUUCCUGCACGGACAAAUUCCACAGCCCAGCUCCAGCUGCCGUGUGGCGGGAAUGGCGGAAAUGUGUGGGGAUUUUUGGCCUGCUGUGCCCGAGGUGGCCCCGCGAGAUGCCUUGAUCGAGGGGGGCAACCGCAGAUCCGCUCAGUGGGACUGACGGCCCUUGGGCAUCCUGGGGCCAACGGUUUUGCCCAAUCCCGGACAAAGGGCAGAAUGGAGUUACCCUCCCCCACCCUCCUCCUCCUUGUUUUUCCUCCUCUUCGUGACCCAUCUUCGGGCGGGGAAAUGGCGGUGGGGUUCGGCUCUGGCUGGAGAGGCAGCCCUCCUCCCCCUCCCCUGUCAACUUAGGCCAGGUCAGGGCCUCGGAAUGCGACAAAUAUUUCUGACGCUGAAGCGAGGCUAAUCCCGAACCGCCCGACGGAUCGCAUCUAUCUUCCUUCUUGCCAGGCAUCGUCAUCGGCAAAGUUCGAGCACUGCCUCGCAGCCCAUGACCGUCGGGUGAGAAGUGGGGGUGUUAGCCAGUCCUCUCCCACUGGCGCUUAUUCCAGCUUGAUGGAGCAAAGGAGGGCUGGCGCCCCAGCCAAGCCCCAGAGGGCGCGGGGAUUGGACCCGGCCGAGCUGACGCCCCACGCGUCCUGGAGGAGGCCAACGGGGCAGGAGACCAGGGCCAGAGGCGCAAAGCUGUUGUGCCCCCCCUCGGCCCGGCCGCCCCUCGCGGGACCUGCGGAAAGAGGCGCUCUGGAGACUAGUGCUGUCGGGGAUACAGUUGCCUGGCCGUUUCAGAGCAGCGCUGCAGGAGGAGGGGGUUGAAUGCUUGGCCGCCCAUUGCCCAGGCCGCCCCCAGUGCCCCACUGCCAAUUUCGAGAGGCCGCCCCCCCCCCCCCCCCCAAGGAAGAAAAGGGUCCUGGGUAGGACAGAGUAUCCUUUUCGUGUCACACCGCGUGUUUCUAUAGGAUCAGCAGUUUCCAAUGUAGUCCCUUUAUGAGCUAUUGGAAGGUUGGCCUGAGUCCGGUCGUCUGUAACGUCCAUCGCUCCUGCAAGGCAGAAGUUGCUGCCACGGUUUGCGUGGACUCCCUCGUGGAACAAGCUUUGCUGCCCCGUUCUGGAAUAAAGGUUUAGAUUUCAAGAGCAAGAGGGGAUCUUCACGAGCUCCUGCAGUUGCUCCCAUCCCUCCCAUAACAGGCCAUGUUAGCCAGGCUGCUGGUAAGUAGCCUCCAGGUUUAUUGUCUAUUUAUUAAAAUUAUAUGAUACCCACCCCACUAUCAAGCGAGUCUGGGUGUCAAGUAACGAUCCAGUUGAAUUUGUUGCAAUCUGCUCUUAGAUCGUCUGCAACUCCCAAAAGACCCAGCCAAAGACGGCGCAUUUGUGGAGAUGCCACACCACUCCUGCCCCAUUUAGUGGCUGGUUGUUGUUUUCCACGUUUUCCUGUGCAAAGAAGGAAGUUCCCAAGAAGGAAGUGGGUCAGGAGGAGGCUCGGAAGGAGGGCUUCAGUGCAAUCCCGAGCAGAGCAGAGGUGUUGGGCUCUUGAAGGCAGCCAACCUCACUUUGUGUCAUGGAGUAGGAGGAGGAUUUUGCUGUGGCCUUUUCUUCCCGCAUUCCUUCCAUAUUUUAUAAACUCAAUGUACUUAACUGACCAGCUAUUGUAGUGGGAUGGUAUAUAACUUUGCUAAAGAAAUGAAGUUAUGGGCACAGUCUCAAAACACACCUAAUUUAUUUAAUGUGGCCAAUUACGAAAACAAUUAAGCAGAGACCACUGAUGUGCUCUCGGGAUGCUCCUUAUUACCGCAGCAUUUAUUUGUCAUGUUUUUGGGGAGAGGGGGGGCACAUAUUUAUAAUUGGACUCUGAGUAGCCAGUGCUUUGUUUUUGCCAGAAGCCUCCUGGGAUCUAUGCAGCCAAGAGACCUUCUCAGAAAUCAGGGACGGCCAAGCUUGUAUUGGCCAAGAACCAGGCGCUGUUAUUCUUAAAUCGCUGGGGAGACAAAAUAAUCAAGCAGCAGUCCUCUGUGGGGCACGAAUUUAUUUGUCAAAAUAUAAGAAGUGCUGCUAUUAAAAUAACGCAGACUUGCAAUAUUUACAUCAACUAAGAAGGACUCAACAUAAUUUAAAAAUUCACUAGAAAAAAUAUAACGGUAACUUAAAUCCUAACAAACCAUGUUACAGAUUAAGUGGUUAAGAUAAUGGUUAAAGCACCAGGCUAAAAACCAGGAGACAGUGAGUUCUAGUCCUGCCUUAGACAUGAAAGCCCACUGGGUGACUUAGCCCAGUCCACUUCUCAAGGCUGUUGUUGUGGUGAAAAUAGAAGAAGGAAGGAGUAUUAGGUAUGUUCUCUGUCUCAAGUUAUUUAUAAAAAAUAAUAAAGGUAGGAUAAAAAUAAACAAGUAAUCCUGAACUGUGAACCACAAAAAACUGACUGGCUUCGGCAACAUGUUCUUGCACUGUAGUCCCUCUGGACUAACUAACUCUUCCUUCUUCCAGAAAGUAACACCUGAUGGGGUUGCAACCUGCUCCUGGAGGAAGCCAUUCCAUCCGUGGAGUAGCUGCUGCUCCCCAGGAAGGAGACUUUUUCACAGAAUUCAGAAGUUCAGAGUUCAGGAAGACUAUCCCUGCCCAAUGGGGUAGCUGAUUCUUGCUGGAGGAGCCGGUCUCCUGCUUGAGGCGGGGGUG
Pantherophis guttatus is the source of this 3236-nucleotide non-coding RNA. Lineage: Eukaryota; Metazoa; Chordata; Lepidosauria; Squamata; Colubridae. The record is from RefSeq and is a predicted model, not a curated record.